This 1323-nucleotide long non-coding RNA is filed under the name Calidris pygmaea (Spoon-billed sandpiper). RNAcentral's name for it is "lncRNA (ENSCPGG00000005047.1)". The record is from RNAcentral. Lineage: Eukaryota; Metazoa; Chordata; Aves; Charadriiformes; Scolopacidae.
AAGCAACGUCAGGGCCUCCUUGUAGUGCCCGAUGGCUUUCUGGGGGUCUCCCAGGUGGAAGCAGGCGGAUCCCAGCCCCUCGCACGCCUGCCACUGUCCCUGCACGUCCCCUGGGGAGGGAAGGGAAGGGAAGGGCAGCGUCAGAGCUGGCCCAGCUCAUCACAGCCGAGGCCCUGGGGAGGGAGCAUCGCUGAGGCACCACGCUGUGUGGGGCGGUGACACUCCCGAGGGACAGGGUGGCAUCCAGAGGGACAUGGACAGGCUGGAGAGGGGGGACCGUGUCACCCUCAUGGGGUCCCACCAGGCCAAGGGCAGGGUCCUGCCCCUGGGAGGGGGCAGCCCCCGGUCCCAGCCCAGGCUGGGGAUGGAGGGAUGGGGAGCAGCCCCAAGGAAAAGGGUCUGGGGGGGCUUGAAAGGGUGGGGGGGAAAGCUGGCCAUGGGCUGGCACCGUGUGCUGGCAGCCCAGCAAGCCCCCCUGCCCUCUGGGCUGCACCCCCAGGGCGAGGGGGGGGGGAUUCUGCCCCUCUGCUCCGCUCUGGGGAGAACCCCCCCCACCCACCCAGUGCUGCCUCCAGCUCUGGGGCCACCAACAGCAGAAGGACAUGGAGCUGUUGGAGCGGGGCCAGAGGAGGGACAUGGAGAUGCUGGGAGGGCUGGAGCCCCUCUGCUGGGAGGGGGGGCUGAGAGAGUUGGGGGGGUUCAGCCUGGAGAAGAGGAGGCUGCGGGGAGACCUUGGAGCCCCUUCCAGUCCCUCAAGGGGCUCCAGGAGAGAUGGGGGGGACUUAAUGAGGGAGGGGAGCGAUGGGACAAGGGGGAAGGGUUUGAAGCUGAAAGAGGGGAGAUUGGGGGGACAUGGUUUAGUGAUGGUUCUUUUGUCAGAGUUAGGUUGAUGGUUGGACGAGAUGAUCUUGAAGGUCCUUCCAACCCCCUAGAUGGUUCUGUGAUUGAGCUGAGAUGUGGGGCAGAAGUUCUUUGGUGUGAGGGUGGUGAGAGCCUGGCCCAGGUUGCCCUGAGAAGCUGUGGCUGCCCCAUCCCUGGAGGGGUUCAAGGGCAGGUUGGAGGGGGCUUGGAGCAACCUGGGCUGGUGGGAGGUGGCCCUGCCCAGGGCAGGGGGGGACUGGAUGGUCUUUAAGAUCCCUUCCCACCCAAACCAUUCCAUGUUCCUCUGAUGCCCUUUGGAUGCAGCACACGCCUGGCUCAGCUCUGCUCGGCAUCCGGAUGCUGCAGACCCCCCAGCACAGGGACGGUUUGCCUGCGCCCCCCCUUACCCGUGUCCCGGAAGGCUUGCAGGGCGUGCAGGUAGUUCUCCGCGGCUGCCUGGUG